This 70-nucleotide microRNA precursor is filed under the name Mus pahari (shrew mouse). RNAcentral describes it as "microRNA 383 (MGP_PahariEiJ_G0007101.1)". It matches the Rfam family "mir-383 microRNA precursor family". Lineage: Eukaryota; Metazoa; Chordata; Mammalia; Rodentia; Muridae. The record is from RNAcentral.
CUCAGAUCAGAAGGUGACUGUGGCUUUGGGUGGAUAUCAAUCAGCCACGGCACUGCCUGGUCAGAAAGAG